Molecule: ribosomal RNA, 713 nt
Filed under: Limosilactobacillus reuteri
Lineage: Bacteria; Bacillati; Bacillota; Bacilli; Lactobacillales; Lactobacillaceae
Description: bacterial SSU rRNA
Rfam family: Bacterial small subunit ribosomal RNA
Source: RNAcentral
UAGGCACUGGCCCAACUGAUUGAUGGUGCUUGCACCUGAUUGACGAUGGAUCACCAGUGAGUGGCGGACGGGUGAGUAACACGUAGGUAACCUGCCCCGGAGCGGGGGAUAACAUUUGGAAACAGAUGCUAAUACCGCAUAACAACAAAAGCCACAUGGCUUUUGUUUGAAAGAUGGCUUUGGCUAUCACUCUGGGAUGGACCUGCGGUGCAUUAGCUAGUUGGUAAGGUAACGGCUUACCAAGGCGAUGAUGCAUAGCCGAGUUGAGAGACUGAUCGGCCACAAUGGAACUGAGACACGGUCCAUACUCCUACGGGAGGCAGCAGUAGGGAAUCUUCCACAAUGGGCGCAAGCCUGAUGGAGCAACACCGCGUGAGUGAAGAAGGGUUUCGGCUCGUAAAGCUCUGUUGUUGGAGAAGAACGUGCGUGAGAGUAACUGUUCACGCAGUGACGGUAUCCAACCAGAAAGUCACGGCUAACUACGUGCCAGCAGCCGCGGUAAUACGUAGGUGGCAAGCGUUAUCCGGAUUUAUUGGGCGUAAAGCGAGCGCAGGCGGUUGCUUAGGUCUGAUGUGAAAGCCUUCGGCUUAACCGAAGAAGUGCAUCGGAAACCGGGCGACUUGAGUGCAGAAGAGGACAGUGGAACUCCAUGUGUAGCGGUGGAAUGCGUAGAUAUAUGGAAGAACACCAGUGGCGAAGGCGGCUGUCUGGUC